Non-coding RNA from Plectropomus leopardus (leopard coralgrouper), 386 nucleotides. The record is from RefSeq and is a predicted model, not a curated record. NCBI's taxonomy places the organism in Eukaryota, Metazoa, Chordata, Actinopteri, Perciformes, Serranidae.
GGACGACCUUCACUAUGCCAGUGUCCUGUUUUACAAGAACCGCGCAGAUUUUCUCUCCUCCUUCAUCAGACCAGCUCAGCCUCGCAGACACAAGAAGGACGAGAGUGUUGUUUACGCUGAGGUCACAUUCAAGAGAUGUCAGAGGUCAGCCGCGGAGGAUUCGGCGGCAGCAUUGUACAGCACAGUCAUCAAAACCAACUAAGCAAAGGGAAUCUGCAGCUUUUCAUGGAGAUGACCCUUUUCAUGAACAUGCACGCGGCCGCACCCUGGCUCAUUAGCAUAUUUACAUGUUCAUGAUUGAGCAGCAGUAGACGUUUGAGCAAUCAUUGACAGGAAACUCCCCAGCAGCAAGAGGAGGAAGCCUACUCCCAAAAAUGACACCCCAA